CAAAUCGAACGGGGUUACGGUCUUCGGAUUGUAACCUAGUGGCGAACGGCUGAGUAGCACGUAAGUAACCUGCCUUGGAGUGGGAAAUAACUUGCUGAAAGGCGAGCUAAUGUCCCAUGUGGUAAUGAAUCACAAGCUUCAUUACUAAAGCUUUCGGGCGCUCCAAGAGGGGCUUGCGUCUGAUUAGCUAGUUGGUAGGGUAAUAGCCUACCAAGGCGAUGAUCAGUAGCUGGUCCGAGAGGAUGACCAGCCAGAUGGGGACUGGGACACGGCCCCAACUCCUACGGGAGGCAGCAGCAAGGAAUUUUGGGCAAUGGGCGAAAGCCUGACCCAGCGACACCGCGUGAGGGAUGAAGGCCUUCGGGUUGUAAACCUCUUUUCUUGGGGAAGAAUCUCGACGGUACCCAGGGAAUAAGCCUCGGCCAACUACGUGCCAGCAGCCGCGGU
Molecule: ribosomal RNA, 447 nt
Filed under: uncultured bacterium
Lineage: Bacteria
Description: bacterial SSU rRNA
Rfam family: Bacterial small subunit ribosomal RNA
Source: RNAcentral